This 381-nucleotide ribosomal RNA is filed under the name uncultured bacterium. RNAcentral's name for it is "bacterial SSU rRNA". It matches the Rfam family "Bacterial small subunit ribosomal RNA", at positions 28 to 440 of the family's 1533-position model. The record is from RNAcentral.
GAUUAACGCUGGCGGCAGGCCUAAUACAUGCAAGUCGAACGGAUCCUUCGGGAUUAGUGGCGGACGGGUGAGUAACACGUGGGAACGUGCCCUUUGGUUCGGAACAACUCAGGGAAACUUGAGCUAAUACCGGAUAAGCCCUUCGGGGAAGGAUUAUCGCCAUUGGAGCGGCCGCGUCUGAUUAGCUAGUUGGUGGGGUAAAGGCCUACCAAGGCGACGAUCAGUAGCUGGUCUGAGAGGAUGANCAGCCACACUGGGACUGAGACACGGCCCAGACUCCUACGGGAGGCAGCAGUAGGGAAUCUUGCGCAAUGGGCGAAAGCCUGACGCAGCCAUGCCGCGUGAAUGAUGAAGGUCUUAGGAUUGUAAAAUUCUUUCAGC